This 468-nucleotide ribosomal RNA is filed under the name uncultured bacterium. RNAcentral's name for it is "partial 16S ribosomal RNA". It matches the Rfam family "Bacterial small subunit ribosomal RNA", at positions 28 to 507 of the family's 1533-position model. The record is from RNAcentral.
GACGAACGCUGGCGGCGUGCUUAACACAUGCAAGUCGAACGGAAAGGGCCUGCAGUUGUGGGGUACUCGAGUGGCGAACGGAUGAGUAAGAAGUGCGUAACCUGCCUUUGACUUUGGGAUAACUACAGGAAACUGGGGAUAAUAAAUAACAGAAGCUCCUGAAGCAUGGCGGGGGGUGGAAAGUUACGGCGGCUGGGGCUGGAAACGCGGCUUAUCAGCUUGGUGGUGGGGCAGAGGCUCACCAAGGCUUUGACGGGGAGCCGGCCUGGGAGGGUGACCGGCCACAGUGGGACUGAGAUGCGGCCCAGAGUGCUACGGGCGGCAGCAGUGGGGGUCUGUGCGCGAUGGGCGGCGGCCGGAAGCAGCAACUCCGCGUUCUGGAUGACGGCCUUCGGGUUGUAAACCGCUUUCUGCGGAUACUAAGCGGGAUUGACGGUAAUGGAAAAGAAAGCACCGGCUAACUACGUG